AAAUUGAAGAGUUUGAUCAUGGCUCAGAUUGAACGCUGGCGGCAGGCCUAACACAUGCAAGUCGAACGGUAACAGAAAGCAGCUUGCUGCUUUGCUGACGAGUGGCGGACGGGUGAGUAAUGUCUGGGAAACUGCCUGAUGGAGGGGGAUAACUACUGGAAACGGUAGCUAAUACCGCAUAACGUCGCAAGACCAAAGAGGGGGACCUUCGGGCCUCUUGCCAUCGGAUGUGCCCAGAUGGGAUUAGCUUGUUGGUGGGGUAACGGCUCACCAAGGCGACGAUCCCUAGCUGGUCUGAGAGGAUGACCAGCCACACUGGAACUGAGACACGGUCCAGACUCCUACGGGAGGCAGCAGUGGGGAAUAUUGCACAAUGGGCGCAAGCCUGAUGCAGCCAUGCCGCGUGUAUGAAGAAGGCCUUCGGGUUGUAAAGUACUUUCAGCGGGGAGGAAGGGAGGUAAAGUUAAUACCUUUGCUCAUUGACGUUACCCGCAGAAGAAGCACCGGCUAACUCCGUGCCAGCAGCCGCGGUAAUACGGAGGGUGCAAGCGUUAAUCGGAAUUACUGGGCGUAAAGCGCACGCAGGCGGUUUGUUAAGUCAGAUGUGAAAUCCCCGGGCUCAACCUGGGAACUGCAUCUGAUACUGGCAAGCUUGAGUCUCGUAGAGGGGGGUAGAAUUCCAGGUGUAGCGGUGAAAUGCGUAGAGAUCUGGAGGAAUACCGGUGGCGAAGGCGGCCCCCUGGACGAAGACUGACGCUCAGGUGCGAAAGCGUGGGGAGCAAACAGGAUUAGAUACCCUGGUAGUCCACGCCGUAAACGAUGUCGACUUGGAGGUUGUGCCCUUGAGGCGUGGCUUCCGGAGCUAACGCGUUAAGUCGACCGCCUGGGGAGUACGGCCGCAAGGUUAAAACUCAAAUGAAUUGACGGGGGCCCGCACAAGCGGUGGAGCAUGUGGUUUAAUUCGAUGCAACGCGAAGAACCUUACCUGGUCUUGACAUCCACAGAACUUUCCAGAGAUGGAUUGGUGCCUUCGGGAACUGUGAGACAGGUGCUGCAUGGCUGUCGUCAGCUCGUGUUGUGAAAUGUUGGGUUAAGUCCCGCAACGAGCGCAACCCUUAUCCUUUGUUGCCAGCGGUCCGGCCGGGAACUCAAAGGAGACUGCCAGUGAUAAACUGGAGGAAGGUGGGGAUGACGUCAAGUCAUCAUGGCCCUUACGACCAGGGCUACACACGUGCUACAAUGGCGCAUACAAAGAGAAGCGACCUCGCGAGAGCAAGCGGACCUCAUAAAGUGCGUCGUAGUCCGGAUUGGAGUCUGCAACUCGACUCCAUGAAGUCGGAAUCGCUAGUAAUCGUGGAUCAGAAUGCCACGGUGAAUACGUUCCCGGGCCUUGUACACACCGCCCGUCACACCAUGGGAGUGGGUUGCAAAAGAAGUAGGUAGCUUAACCUUCGGGAGGGCGCUUACCACUUUGUGAUUCAUGACUGGGGUGAAGUCGUAACAAGGUAACCGUAGGGGAACCUGCGGUUGGAUCACCUCCUUA
This 1543-nucleotide ribosomal RNA is filed under the name Escherichia coli. RNAcentral's name for it is "bacterial SSU rRNA". It matches the Rfam family "Bacterial small subunit ribosomal RNA". The record is from RNAcentral. Lineage: Bacteria; Pseudomonadati; Pseudomonadota; Gammaproteobacteria; Enterobacterales; Enterobacteriaceae.